GCCCCACCCGCGCCGCUGCCUCGCUGGGGCCCGGGCCCCCUUCCCGGUCCGAAGCCCCAGAGAGAUUGGUGAGGGUGAUUUCCCAGGAAGACGCAGUGUGCUCUGACUUCUGUGACAGUGAGCAACGGGACCAGUGGAUGUCCAGAUGCUGGCAAUGAGACAUGCUCUGGAGUCAGAAGACAGCGAAAAGAGAAGCAGAAGCCCCGGUGGCAAGAGUCUGAAGCUGGAAAGGAGGAGAACAUGAAACAUUGCUUGAAGACAAUGGCCGAGACAGCAGGUCCCACCCUGCACAGCCACCAGCAUCUCUCCCCUCAGCCCUGUCUCCUCUUCUGCAGUUGGGAUCUGCACAUUUAAGCCUGAAAUUGUCCUGUGAAGUGAAGUAUGAUCGGACAGCCUCUUUUCAGCUUUUAUGACAAUGGAGACAGAGGAAUUGUGGCUCUUGCCAAGGUCACAGGAUUGGAAUACAGAGCCAAGCCACCCCAGGACAUGCAAGAGCCUCAGAAGGGAAAAAAGCCCAGCAGGAAGGGAGAACAAGUAGCCUCUGUCCUGAAGUUGUAACAGCCAGGGGCCAGGAUGGAGGAGGAGGACCCCAUAAUCUGCCCAUCUGGGACUUGGCAGGGGACCUGGGAAAAUGUACCCCAACCCAUCCCUUAAGGGCCUUUGUCUUUGGCCCAUUGGCCUAGCAUCUACUUCUUCACCGUGUCUGUUCUUGUCACACCUAGUCAGGUCUGUUUGGGUCUGAGGUGCAUGGAACAUUCUGGGUAGGCCUCCAGCAAACGGAAGCUCUUCACCGUGUUUCCAGCCUGGGACCAAGGGCAGCAUACUGGCAAAGUUGCCAAAGCAAGGGACUCCAGCCUCUUAGGAGUUAAUGACUCCCUCUCCCCAGCUGUCCUCCCCUUGGUGCUCCUCUUCCUCCCUCCUCCUGCUCACAGCAGGCAGGGCCUAGACCCGGGAGCCAUGCUGCUGUGCUGUUGCCAGGGGAGCACGGAGGCAGAUCUGAGCUAUGCAGGGAAAAGGCCCAGCCUGUCAAAGUGUCUGAGAUGAACCGCCGCCGUCCCUGUGCAGCUGGGCUCAGACGUGUCUCAGCUCUUGUUCUGUGCCUGAGAAUGGCGAAACCCAGUGAGGUUCAAGGGCAAACUCGCUAUUCAUUAGUCAGGGGUUCUUGACGUCCCGUCUCUCCCAGGGAUGAGUUCCCCCCUCCUCUUUCUCCCCCUCCUAUGACACAUUCCUGGGUGCCUUUGGUGAGGACUGCACACCCUCCUCCUGCCUAGCCCCCUCUCCAAAGGCCCCUGAAUAAACUCCCCCCAAGGAGACCAGGCAGGGCAGAGACAAUGGCUGCAGGAAAUCAUUCAGGCGGGACAUGCUGGCCUGCCCUCCACCCAGUCCCCCUGUGGGCCCCACUCCCUUCUGAUUCAGGGCACCCUUGGGCCCCCAGCCUAUACAGGCCUGGACAGGAAGAAACCACUGGGAACCACCCUAAGGACAACAUGCUAGUCCAGUGCCAUUCUUCGCUGGCUCUGUGGGUGCCUUUGUGGCCUGUACCGACUGGCUGGCUAAUUUUGUGGUUUCUGUACCAUCACAUGCCUAUUUUAAGACACUCUCCAGCACUGUCGGUUAGGGAGUGUAAAUUUUGCAAUAUUUUCUGAAAUGUGGCAAUAUCAAAAUGUAAAAGGCACACAUACUUGGUCACAAACAAAUGGCACUAUUUACUCUGUGGGCAUAUUUGUAAAAGUUGCCAAAGAAUUAUAUACAAGGAUGUUCAUCAGAGCAUUUCUUUUGAAGAGUAAAGAAAUGGACAUGAACCUGUGGUCCGUUCAUACGGUGGAAUACCUAUGCAGCUGUAAAAAUCAGUGUGGUAGAUCUCCGUAUAUGAGUUGAUGUGGAAGGUUGGCCAGUUCACAUGAUAAGGUGAAUAGAAUAAGUUACAGAACAGGCUGUAGAGUAUGAUCUUAUUUGUAGAUGUUUAAAACUGAGUCAUAAGUAUGCUUAUAUACAGAUCGUUUCUGGAAGUAUGUACUGGAAGUCUACCUCUGGGGAGUGGGGAUGGGGGAGUGCACUCUUCUAUACUGUUAUAUUUUCUUUUCAUGCUCCUAAGGUACUUUUAUUGGAAGAUGUAAAGCGGUUCAAUGUAAUAGGCUUAACUUCUGUCAACUAAGUUGGCGUGGGUGCUUUAAGAGGGUGGUAGUGAUGUUGCUGGAGAAAGUAUCCCACAGUCACUGGUGGCUUCAGCCACGGGCCAUUUUGGGGCCUAAUAAUCACAUAUCAUCAUGGUUGCUAGUGUUAAUCGAAAACCUACUAAGUGCCAGGCUUACUGUCUCUGGGUCUUGCUUACGUGGAUGUCAUUUUUCCAGUUGCACCAAAUCGAAAGAGGUUAAUUGGUUUGUUGGAGUUCCUUUGUAGGUGAAGGGCAGAGCCAGGAGCUUGGCUAGGGACAGGGGAGGUGAGUGGGGGAUGGUGGAUAGGUCUUGGCUCCCAGUUUCCUUCUGGGCAGACAUUGCCCCUCUGCCCUGAGGACCUGCUUGUUUGGGGGAAGAGGCCUUUAGAGGCACCAGGGUCAUGCCAGGUGUUGGACAUGGUGAACUGGGAAGUGCUCCCAUCUGGCCACAGCGCAGAAGUAUCACCGUGCUGGGGGAUGGGGAACAGGGCUGUGAAUGGGCCUAUUUGCAUAAGCAGCAUGUGUCUGGAGAGAAAGACAUCACAGAGCAGAAGAGUGCGGGUGCCCAGGAGUGCACUUGCCACCCCUACUUCAUCCCUGAAAGAGUAAAUGGCCUGGAAGGUGUCUCUGAGAGGUAAUGCCGCACACCACCCUCCCUGGGGGCAGGGUCAGGCUACACCUGCCUUAGGUCGGGGGCUGCAGCAGCCUGAGAGCUCUCAGUAGGGCCUCAGUAGCCUGGGAGGGAGCAGGGGCAGGGGGCAGGGAAAGAGGCGUAAUGGGGCUGUCCAGAGGGGCCUGGGAAACCUGGUCCCUGAGGCCUGGGCACAGCUACAAUCACUUCAAAUUGGCUGUGGGGCCAGUGGACUGGGAAGGAAAAAAGCAAUAAGAGUGACCAAGUGCAGAAGGCUGUCAGGUCCCAGGUCACAUGCCUUAGUGCAGUGACUCCUCAUCAUUUUAUGGGGUGUGGGUGUCGUUGGUACACCCAUUUUACAGAUGAGGACACCGAGGCCCAGAAAAGUUAAGUUACAUGUCCUAAGUCACACAGCUUGUAAGUGCCAGAACUGAGAUCAAAACCAAGUCUCUUUGACUUUAAAGUCUGUACUCUGACCCCAAAGAGAUCCUGUUUGGCCACUUAUAGGAGGUCCCUAAAGCUGCAGACUCCCCUUGCCGGCACCCACAUAUAGAGACAUUAACCCUUCCCCUGCAGGGUCACCUCAAAUAGUCUUUUAGCUGGGCUUCUCCUGCAAUUCCACCUAAUGCCAUCCCCUGGGUUUUGCCCAAACCUGAACUGGGCAGUGGGGUGAGAGGAGGGGUUUACAGGGUUACAGAGCCUCAUACAGAUAGGAGCCCAUGGCUGCUGGUCAUCUGCAUUCCUGCAGGAUUGGCUGUUCCUUGGGGUCCUUGGCAGGAAAAUGAGGAUUGCUCCGAGGCCUGCUCCAGUACUUCCCAGAGGCUGGCCUGGUGUGGGGCUCUGGGAAGGCUGAGGCUGGAGAAGCGUAAGUAGGAGGGCAGAGAUGGCACUCAGGUAGCUUGAAUCACCAGGACCCUUCCAAGCCCCACAGGUUCUGAGGGAGUACUAGGGCCAGCUCUGGGAGAGGUCUCUUCCUAUGCUGUGAACCCCCUGCCUUUCUUGCAGCCUACAACGAAUAAAUUUUCUUUGCAA
RNAcentral lists this long non-coding RNA (3818 nucleotides) under Homo sapiens (human). Its description in RNAcentral is "MIR9-3 host gene". The record is from RNAcentral. Lineage: Eukaryota; Metazoa; Chordata; Mammalia; Primates; Hominidae.